RNAcentral lists this transfer RNA (87 nucleotides) under Winogradskyella thalassocola. RNAcentral's name for it is "tRNA_Leu_GAG". It matches the Rfam family "tRNA". Rfam says of the family: Transfer RNA (tRNA) molecules are approximately 80 nucleotides in length. Their secondary structure includes four short double-helical elements and three loops (D, anti-codon, and T loops). The record is from RNAcentral. Lineage: Bacteria; Pseudomonadati; Bacteroidota; Flavobacteriia; Flavobacteriales; Flavobacteriaceae.
GCGCACGUGGCGGAAUUGGUAGACGCGCCAGCUUGAGGGGCUGGUGGACAUUAGUCCGUGGAAGUUCGAGUCUUCUCGUGCGCACAA